Molecule: RNA transcript, 1144 nt
Organism: Arabidopsis lyrata subsp. lyrata
Lineage: Eukaryota; Viridiplantae; Streptophyta; Magnoliopsida; Brassicales; Brassicaceae
Gene name: aquaporin PIP2-2
Exons: 4
Source: RefSeq, a predicted model, not a curated record
UUCAUAUCACAACCACAAGUCCAACAACAACCCCAAAGCAAAACACUUUCUAAGAAACUCAAGAAACAUCCAUUAACACAUAUGGCGAAAGACGUGGGAGGACCUGAUGGAUUUCAGACGAGGGACUACGAAGAUCCUCCGCCUACUCCGUUUUUCGACGCGGAGGAGCUUACCAAGUGGUCUUUGUACAGAGCAGUCAUCGCCGAGUUCGUAGCUACUCUCCUCUUCUUAUACGUCACCGUUUUGACUGUCAUCGGUUACAAGUACAAGAUUGAGUUGACUGUGGCGGCGUUGGAAUUCUUGGCAUCGCGUGGGCUUUUGGUGGCAUGAUCUUCAUUCUUGUCUACUGCACCGCCGGUAUCUCAGGUGGUCACAUAAACCCGGCGGUGACAUUCGGAUUGUUCUUGGCUCGGAAGGUGUCGCUGAUUAGGGCGGUGCUUUACAUGGUGGCUCAGUGUUUGGGUGCUAUUUGUGGAGUUGGGUUUGUGAAGGCUUUUCAAAGCUCUUACUACGUUCGUUACGGUGGAGGAGCCAACUCUCUAGCCGACGGUUACAACACAGGCACGGGACUUGCCGCAGAGAUCAUCGGAACAUUCGUGCUCGUCUACACAGUCUUCUCCGCCACUGAUCCCAAACGCAACGCUAGAGACUCCCACGUUCCGGUGUUGGCGCCACUUCCGAUUGGGUUUGCGGUGUUUAUGGUACAUUUGGCCACUAUUCCGAUCACCGGAACCGGUAUCAACCCGGCCAGGAGUUUCGGAGCCGCCGUAAUCUUUAACAAGAGCAAGCCAUGGGAUGACCAUUGGAUAUUCUGGGUAGGACCAUUCAUUGGAGCUGCGAUAGCUGCAUUUUAUCACCAAUUUGUCCUCAGGGCCUCAGGUUCCAAGUCACUCGGUUCCUUCAGAAGUGCAGCAAACGUUUGAACUUAGCCAUAAAACAAAAAAAAAGUGUGUACAAUUAUGUAGGAAUUGGGCACAUUAUUUUAAAACAUGCCCUCUUUUCCACUCGUAUCUUUCUUUUCUUCUUCCUAUUUCUGCUUAUAUUUGUGUGAUUCCUAAUCAAUCAAGUGAAAUGUUUUCCUCUUGGCAAUGAGUUAAAGUGUAUUGAAAAAAAAAUUCGAGAAGAACCACUUUUCCUUGGCUUA